This 207-nucleotide small RNA is filed under the name Paenibacillus sp. RNAcentral describes it as "c-di-AMP sequence". It matches the Rfam family "c-di-AMP riboswitch aptamer (ydaO/yuaA leader)". Rfam says of the family: This family represents a conserved RNA structure found upstream of the ydaO and yuaA genes in Bacillus subtilis and related genes in other bacteria. The ydaO/yuaA element is thought to act as a genetic "off" switch for the ydaO and yuaA genes in its native state. It is believed that the element may be triggered during osmotic shock leading to activation of ydaO, a predicted amino acid transporter gene, and members of the yuaA-yubG operon which code for KtrA and KtrB K+ transporters. Lineage: Bacteria; Bacillati; Bacillota; Bacilli; Caryophanales; Paenibacillaceae. The record is from RNAcentral.
UUUUUAAAAUCGCUGAGUUUCCGUUCGAAGAAGCGGAAAUCGGGGGAACCAAUCGCGCGUUCCCGUCGUCCGAUGUGAGAGUCGGAAGGCAGGGGAGGCGCCGGGGUGAAUCCUGCGAAACGGAUGCCAUGGAUCCGAUCGCGGGUAGAGCGACUCUCACCGCUCGAAUCCGUCAGCUAACCUCGUAAGCGUCGCCUGAGAGAGGAA